RNAcentral lists this ribosomal RNA (471 nucleotides) under uncultured bacterium. RNAcentral describes it as "partial 16S ribosomal RNA". It matches the Rfam family "Bacterial small subunit ribosomal RNA", at positions 28 to 507 of the family's 1533-position model. The record is from RNAcentral.
GACGAACGCUGGCGGCGUGCUUAACACAUGCAAGUCGAACGAUGAGGCGGUGCUUGCACUGUUGUUUUGUUGCGAACGGGCGAGUAAUUCGUGCGUGGAUUACCUUUCACUAUGGGAUAAGUCUGUGCGACUGGCCGUAAUUACGGAUACGACCUAUUUUUGCCCGGGUUGUUGGAGGAUAGAGUUCUGGAGUGGUUUUAGUUGGGCUUGCGGCCAAUCUGCUUGCUGGGGAGGUUAUGGUAUCCCACGGCCACGGCUGCUAGCCGUCCCGGGAGGGGGACCGGCCACACUGGGACUACGAGACGGCCCAGACGCCUACGGGAGGCAGCAGUGGGGAAUAUUGCACAAUGGCGGCAAGCCAGAUGCAGCGGUGCCGCGUGAGGGAUGACGGCCUUCGGGGGAUAAACCUAUGUGAGCAUCGAAGAAGCGAAAGUGACGGUAGGUGCAGAGAAAGCGCCGGCUAACUACGUG